UGGGGAAUUUUGGACAAUGGGGGAAACCCUGAUCCAGCCAUCCCGCGUGUGCGAUGAAGGCCUUCGGGUUGUAAAGCACUUUUGGCAGGAAAGAAACGUCAUGGGUUAAUACCCCGUGAAACUGACGGUACCUGCAGAAUAAGCACCGGCUAACUACGUGCCAGCAGCCGCGGUAAUACGUAGGGUGCAAGCGUUAAUCGGAAUUACUGGGCGUAAAGCGUGCGCAGGCGGUUCGGAAAGAAAGAUGUGAAAUCCCAGAGCUCAACUUUGGAACUGCAUUUUUAACUACCGGGCUAGAGUGUGUCAGAGGGAGGUGGAAUUCCGCGUGUAGCAGUGAAAUGUGUAGAUAUGCGGAGGAACACCGAUGGCGAAGGCAGCCUCCUGGGAUAACACUGACGCUCAUGCACGAAAGCGUGGGGAGCAAACAGG
This 429-nucleotide ribosomal RNA is filed under the name Acidobacteriota bacterium. Its description in RNAcentral is "Acidobacteria bacterium partial 16S ribosomal RNA". It matches the Rfam family "Bacterial small subunit ribosomal RNA", at positions 355 to 776 of the family's 1533-position model. The record is from RNAcentral. Lineage: Bacteria; Pseudomonadati; Acidobacteriota.